Long non-coding RNA from Vidua macroura (Pin-tailed whydah), 665 nucleotides. RefSeq lists it as uncharacterized. The record is from RefSeq and is a predicted model, not a curated record. The transcript is spliced from 3 exons. NCBI's taxonomy places the organism in Eukaryota, Metazoa, Chordata, Aves, Passeriformes, Viduidae.
GUAGUAGAUACUAAAAAUCAUUCAAAUUAUUGUGCUUGCAACUUUACUAAAAUUGCAGGAUGUGAUUUUUCUUUUGUAGCUCCAGUUACUUCACAUGAACUUUUAGAAUCCAAUCUCACAAUGAUUCACAAGCUACUACCUACUCCCAUUGGGAUGAACCUUACUUUGGUAAAGCAGCUAUUACUUCAUCAAGAUCUAAUAGAGAUCCUAGGAAAAAUCAAGGAGAAUGGACAGAAAACUCUGUCCUGAAGACUCCACGACGACACCAUGGAACCCUGCUGAUGAAGAUCUUUCGAGGGCAAUUGUCAGUCAUGGGGUGGUUUCCGGCUCAGAACAGGACACAGCGCAGGUGGAACCACUGAACCGUCAUGCUAGCUGUUCCGAACAAGGCCUGGCAAGAACUUGGCAAGGAGUUGGCAAGGACUUGGCAAAGACCUGACAUGGACCCAGCACGGGACAGCCUGAUGCGCGGCCUGCUUCUCUUCUAAUCUCCGUUCUUAAGCCGAAUGAACUUUUGGGGUGACUCCCGUGGUCCUUCAUUGAAGACCCCUCAUCUGCCUCGUUACCACUGUGACAAACAAAGAAUGAGAACCCUCCUCCCAAGGACUGAGACUGAGACCCCUACUACAGGGAGGAGGGGAAAUUGGUGGUCUGACCACUAAUGA